This 807-nucleotide long non-coding RNA is filed under the name Sorghum bicolor (sorghum). Its description in RNAcentral is "long non-coding RNA (SBIC_LNC006517)". Lineage: Eukaryota; Viridiplantae; Streptophyta; Magnoliopsida; Poales; Poaceae. The record is from RNAcentral.
CCCUUUGCUCUUGUGAUUUCAUCGCGGAAUUACAUAGGCGGCGGCUUCAUCCGCUCCCAAUUGGUGCUUCUACUCCCUUCAAGGUAUUCCUUGAUUGAUUGUAGGCUGUGUUGGUUGGUUCUUUGAGAGUGUGGUUGGGCGAAUCCUCGAUUCAGGUUGCCGGUUAAAGACCGUGGUUGGCUUCGAGUUUUAUUUGCCAGGUUGCACUAGUUAUCACUGCAUGCAACAAGUUAUCCGGCUGUUCUUCAGCUAGUUAUCGGUGUUCAUCCUACGUCGCGAAGAUCGGGACAACGUGUCGCAUCAUCUGGUAUCAAAGCUUUCGUUACUACGGUAGGAAUUCUAUCCCUAGCUACAUAUAUAUUUUUGCUUUGUCCUAUCCACCAAAAAGCCAGAAAAAUAUAUUGCUCAGACCUUUGUUUCAAUCUGUUAUUUUAGUGAGUUUGGUUAUGUCGCAGUCCAUUAGAGUCUUUGUUUUAGUUGCUGAUCAUUUAUCCUUCGCGUGUUCUUUGUGCCUCUUUAUAUCUAAAAAUCCCCACAAAAAAAAUCUCUAUAGCCUAUAUCAUCCUUUGUGUCAAAGAUCCUAUCAAGUUAUAGUUUCUGGUUGUGCUUUGUUUCUAUCAAGUUUGCAAGUAUUAUAUCUGAUCACUGUAUUUAGUUAUAAAAAACAAGUGUGUCAAAAAAAGGAAAAGAAAGUGCAAAAAAAAGUGAAGUGAAAAAAAAAGUUGAGAAAGGUUCAGAAAGAAAGUCUGAAAGAUUAGUUGGUUUAUGUGCACAAGUGCUGAAAGUUUCAUAUCAAGUUUUGCAACC